RNAcentral lists this transfer RNA (69 nucleotides) under Neotrygon kuhlii (spotted stingray). RNAcentral describes it as "tRNA-Ala". It matches the Rfam family "tRNA". Rfam says of the family: Transfer RNA (tRNA) molecules are approximately 80 nucleotides in length. Their secondary structure includes four short double-helical elements and three loops (D, anti-codon, and T loops). The record is from RNAcentral. RNAcentral also lists the same sequence under 1 other name. Lineage: Eukaryota; Metazoa; Chordata; Chondrichthyes; Myliobatiformes; Dasyatidae.
GAGGUCUUAGCUUAAUGAAAGUGUCUGAGUUGCAUUCAGGAGAUGUGAGAUAAAGUCUUGCAGAUCUUA